This 497-nucleotide ribosomal RNA is filed under the name uncultured bacterium. Its description in RNAcentral is "partial 16S ribosomal RNA". It matches the Rfam family "Bacterial small subunit ribosomal RNA", at positions 28 to 507 of the family's 1533-position model. The record is from RNAcentral.
GAUGAACGCUAGCGGCGUGCCUAAUACAUGCAAGUCGAGCGAACAGACGAGGAGCUUGCUCCUUUGACGUUAGCGGCGGACGGGUGAGUAACACGUGGAUAACCUACCUAUAAGACUGGGAUAACUUCGGGAAACCGGAGCUAAUACCGGAUAACAUGUUGAACCGCAUGGUUCAACAGUGAAAGACGGUCUUGCUGUCACUUAUAGAUGGAUCCGCGCCGCAUUAGCUAGUUGGUAAGGUAACGGCUUACCAAGGCAACGAUGCGUAGCCGACCUGAGAGGGUGAUCGGCCACACUGGAACUGAGACACGGUCCAGACUCCUACGGGAGGCAGCAGUAGGGAAUCUUCCGCAAUGGGCGAAAGCCUGACGGAGCAACGCCGCGUGAGUGAAGAAGGUCUUCGGAUCGUAAAACUCUGUUAUUAGGGAAGAACAAAUGUGUAAGUAACUAUGCACGUCUUGACGGUACCUAAUCAGAAAGCCACGGCUAACUACGUG